This 419-nucleotide ribosomal RNA is filed under the name bacterium. Its description in RNAcentral is "partial 16S ribosomal RNA". It matches the Rfam family "Bacterial small subunit ribosomal RNA", at positions 355 to 776 of the family's 1533-position model. The record is from RNAcentral.
UGGGGGAUAUUGCACAAUGGGCGAAAGCCUGAUGCAGCGACGCCGCGUGGGGGAUGAAGGCCUUCGGGUUGUAAACUUCUUUUGCUCUGAACAAGGCGCACCAUGGGGUGUGUUGAGUGUAGGGGUUGAUUAGCGCCGGCUAACUACGUGCCAGCAGCCGCGGUAAUACGUAGGGCGCGAGCGUUGUCCGGAAUUAUUGGGCGUAAAGGGCUUGUAGGUGGCUGGUUGCGUCUGUCGUGAAAGCUCAUGGCUUAACUGUGGGUUUGCGGUGGGGACGGGCUGGCUUGAGUGCAGUAGGGGAGGCUGGAAUUCCUGGUGUAGCGGUGGAAUGCGCAGAUAUCAGGAGGAAUACCGGUGGCGAAGGCGGGUCUCUGGGCUGUUACUGACACUGAGGAGCGAAAGCAUGGGGAGCGAACAGG